UACGUAGGGUGCGAGCGUUGUCCGGAAUUAUUGGGCGUAAAGAGCUUGUAGGCGGUUUGUCGCGUCUGCUGUGAAAAUCAAUAGCUUAACUGUGGACGUGCAGUAGGUACGGGCAGGCUAGAGUGUGGUAGGGGAGACUGGAAUUCCUGGUGUAGCGGUGAAAUGCGCAGAUAUCAGGAGGAACACCGAUGGCGAAGGCAGGUCUCUGGGCCAUUACUGACGCUGAGAAGCGAAAGCAUGGGUAACGAACAGGAUUA
RNAcentral lists this ribosomal RNA (257 nucleotides) under uncultured prokaryote. RNAcentral's name for it is "partial 16S ribosomal RNA". It matches the Rfam family "Bacterial small subunit ribosomal RNA", at positions 524 to 780 of the family's 1533-position model. The record is from RNAcentral.